CAUCGUUCCCUCUAUUCAUUCAUCCAUCACGCGUUUCACCGUUAUUUUUCGAGGAAGGAUGAAGAAAAGAGAGAAAGGCCUCGAAAUUCAUUCCCGUUUCACGGGAUUUCGCGCGAUAAGUGACCACAACCAGCACAUGCUCGACGAUAAUUUCCAUCUGCUCGUAGAAAACUCGUUCACCAAGGUGCGGAAACUCGUUGGGCCGCGAGACAUCUCGAGGGUCUACGAAACGUAGCCCGAUUUCGCGCAGAGAACAAUGCAAGGCAAGGCCACUUUCUUUCCAUCUUAGCCAUCUCUUUCUUUUUCUCUCUCUCUCUCUCUUUCUUCUUUCCUUCUGUUUAAUUCGGCUCCGUGAAAGCGCAGACUAAUUUCUCCUGUCUGGCCCCUCCGCCACCCUCUUCGAGAGUCGACGACGACGACGACGGCGGCGGAGUGGCCCGCAGCAAACUGGAGGGAAAGGGUUACAGAGGCGGAAGGUUGAAGAGGAGAUCCGCACAAAGAGCAGAGGAGUGUGCAACAAUUAUAAACACCGUGGCAAUUACAGUGGCCUGGGGGACGAUUAUAGACAAUUGUGUGGAUCGCACGUAAGCUGAGUAAUUAUACAUAGUUGUGAGUGGUUUGCUUUAGAGAAGGAGGGUGGUGAUAUAUUCGUGGAAGAAGAGAUCUUUUGGAAGAUUUUUA
Molecule: long non-coding RNA, 681 nt
Organism: Apis dorsata (giant honeybee)
Lineage: Eukaryota; Metazoa; Arthropoda; Insecta; Hymenoptera; Apidae
Exons: 2
Source: RefSeq, a predicted model, not a curated record